Molecule: transfer RNA, 72 nt
Filed under: Bos taurus (domestic cattle)
Lineage: Eukaryota; Metazoa; Chordata; Mammalia; Artiodactyla; Bovidae
Also listed under: 2 other names
Rfam family: tRNA
About the family: Transfer RNA (tRNA) molecules are approximately 80 nucleotides in length.
Source: Rfam by way of RNAcentral
UCUCUCAUAGCUCAGUUGGUAAAGAAUCUGUCUGCAAUGCAGGAGACCUGGGUUCGAUCCCUGGGGGGGGAC